GGGUAGUUUGAUAAUAAGGUCAAGUGAUGUUAAUAUCUAUAUAGAUAUCAACAUCACUUGACCUUAUUAUUAAACUGCCC
This 80-nucleotide microRNA precursor is filed under the name Xyrichtys novacula (pearly razorfish). Lineage: Eukaryota; Metazoa; Chordata; Actinopteri; Labriformes; Labridae. The record is from RNAcentral.